CCCUGACGCGCGUUUCGCCACACUGGCUCUUCCGAGGGGAGGAAGAGCCAGUGUGGCGAAACGCGCGUCAGGGAU
This 75-nucleotide microRNA precursor is filed under the name Pelobates cultripes (western spadefoot toad). The record is from RNAcentral. Lineage: Eukaryota; Metazoa; Chordata; Amphibia; Anura; Pelobatidae.